ACAAGGGGUAGUUUAAGUGUAAAAUAGUAGCUUUGGGAGUUAAUAAUAAAGAAAUUUCUUUCCUCUUGAA
This 70-nucleotide transfer RNA is filed under the name Opecarcinus hypostegus. RNAcentral describes it as "tRNA-Pro". It matches the Rfam family "tRNA". Rfam says of the family: Transfer RNA (tRNA) molecules are approximately 80 nucleotides in length. Their secondary structure includes four short double-helical elements and three loops (D, anti-codon, and T loops). Lineage: Eukaryota; Metazoa; Arthropoda; Malacostraca; Decapoda; Cryptochiridae. The record is from RNAcentral.